GAGGAAUAUUGGGCAAUGCCCGAAAGGGUGACCCAGCAACGCCGCGUGGAGGAUGAAGGUCGUAAGAUUGUAAACUCCUGUUAGAGGGGAAGAAUAACUAAGUUUGGAGCUUAGUAUGACUGUACCCUCAGAGAAAGCCCCGGCUAACUACGUGCCAGCAGCCGCGGUAAUACGUAGGGGGCAAGCGUUGUCCGGAUUUACUGGGUGUAAAGGGCGCGCAGGCGGAAUGGAAAGUCAGUGGAGAAAUCCUACAGCUUAACUGUAGAACUGCCUUUGAUACUUUCAUUCUUGAGUUCGGGAGAGAGAGACGGAAUUCCAGGUGUAGUGGUGAAAUACGUAGAUAUCUGGAAGAACACCAGUUGCGAAGGCGGCCUCUUGGUCCGAUACUGACGCUGAGGCGCGAAAGCGUGGGGAGCAAACA
RNAcentral lists this ribosomal RNA (421 nucleotides) under uncultured bacterium. RNAcentral's name for it is "bacterial SSU rRNA". It matches the Rfam family "Bacterial small subunit ribosomal RNA", at positions 356 to 774 of the family's 1533-position model. The record is from RNAcentral.